RNAcentral lists this long non-coding RNA (526 nucleotides) under Apteryx owenii (little spotted kiwi). RNAcentral's name for it is "lncRNA (ENSAOWG00000009205.1)". Lineage: Eukaryota; Metazoa; Chordata; Aves; Apterygiformes; Apterygidae. The record is from RNAcentral.
GCGUAGCUGGAGCUUCAGAACCGUGCAUAACUGUGCCACUAUAUCCCUGUGGUCUGUUGAAGAAUGAAGAGGAAAACACUUGAACGUUAAAGAGAGAAGAAUCUCCCUGAAUUGAACAAAUGUGUCACUUUUGAAUAAGGAUUCAUGAAAAGGCAGAAAAGGAGAAGAAAAAAGAAUAAAGUCUUCUACAAUAACUGUGGAAUAUGGCCAAGUGACAUGGAGAAGCCUACGUGCUGCUGCAAAAGUGAAAUCUGCAGCAAAAGGAAACAUGUCCUUGAUAAACAGUUCAACUGCCUCUGCUAGAUGGUCAUGGUUCCUGCUGUUACUAUGGGGGUGGUAAGCUGCAAAAUUUCAUGUCUCAGUCUUUUUCCCUCCUGGCAUUAAAGACUUGAAUUCAACAGUUUCUUUCUUCUUUCCUAUUUUCUUUUUUGGGUAGCGCUGGAGAAGAUACAAACUCUCUCACCUUUCUAUAUCCUCUGCUUUCUUUCUUUAGAGUAUUGUAUUGCCUUUUUCAGAAUUAUCUCCU